RNAcentral lists this ribosomal RNA (484 nucleotides) under Aspergillus nidulans. Its description in RNAcentral is "eukaryotic LSU rRNA". It matches the Rfam family "Eukaryotic large subunit ribosomal RNA", at positions 2910 to 3401 of the family's 3401-position model. Lineage: Eukaryota; Fungi; Ascomycota; Eurotiomycetes; Eurotiales; Aspergillaceae. The record is from RNAcentral.
GAAUUCGGUAAGCGUUGGAUUGUUCACCCACUAAUAGGGAACGUGAGCUGGGUUUAGACCGUCGUGUGACAGGUUAGUUUUACCCUACUGAUGAAGGUCGCCGCAACGGUAAUUGAAUUUAGUACGAGAGGAACCGUUGAUUCAGAUAAUUGGUUUUUGCGGCUGUCUGACCAGGCAGUGCCGCGACGCUACCAUCUGCCGGAUAAUGGCUGAACGCUUCUAAGUCAGAAUCCGUGCCGGAACGCGGCGAUGUUGCCCCGCACGUCGUAGUUGGAUACGAAUAGGCCUCCGGGCCCUGUACCUCAGCAGGCUGGCGACGGCCCCGGGGAGAAGCCCUCGGGAGCCGGCUGGCGGAUUGCAAUGUCACCUCGCGCGGGGAUGAAUCCUCUGCAGACGACUGAUGUGACCAAGCGGGUCGUGUAAGCGGUCAAGUAGCCUUGUUGCUACGAGUCGCUGAGCGUCAGCCGACCUUGGCUCGAUUUGU